AUUAUGUAUAAAAUAUAAAUUUUUGAUAUUUUUAUUAAAUUAAUUAAUAUUUUAAAUGAUUAAUUAAGUCGGAAGAAUAUGACAACAAUUUCUUUAAAAAGCGUUUGAAAUUAGAAUUAAAAUUUAUUUAUUAGAAUAAACUAGGAUUAUUAAAAUGAUGGAAAAAUAGGAAAACAUUUUUAAAACUUUAAAUAAUUUCAAAAGAUUAAUGUUUGAAAAAUGGUAUGCUGAUAGCCAUAUUCCCCAAAGUAUGGGGUAAUAUGGCAAGAAUUAAAAGAUAAUAUGCUACAAUGUUCAAAAUACUUUUAAACAGUAAAUUAAUAUGGAAAAGACUAAUAUAUAAAAAUUAGGAAAUUGUACUGGCAUAUAAAAUUUUAUUUGCGCUUUGACUACUACAGCAUUUAAAAACAGUUGGCCGAAUGGCUGCCGCCGUGUUGUGCUUCAACCCUGGAAGAUCCGGGUUCAGUUCUCAAGUCCUACAUCUCCAAUAUUUUCAAAAGGAGUUCGGAUGGGUCCGAACUCCUCUUGAAAAUAUUGGAGAUAUAGCUGUUUUUAAAUGGUGUGUAGUAGUCUUCUGAAAAUAUUGGAGAUCUCCAUCCUCCACCUGACGACUGACUCCAUCAGGGUGUACGUGAUCCGUAAUGGGCAUUGGAACGUCCCGCCGCUUAGUAAUCACCGAGUGGAAAGUGACGUAAAGUCAUACAGGGGAAAACUAUUCAAAAUUAGUACCACAUGUUACAACAUUUAUUUUGACACAUAGAUAUCCAAAUAAUAUGAUACAAUAUCGAUCAUUUAAUGGUCUGGGUUCUUGAAAUGAUCCUUAUAAUAUAUAUGAAUUUCAUUCAAAUCGGAUAAUAUUUACACGAGCUAUUGCAAGAAAUAUUUG
Molecule: long non-coding RNA, 886 nt
Filed under: Androctonus crassicauda
Lineage: Eukaryota; Metazoa; Arthropoda; Arachnida; Scorpiones; Buthidae
Source: RNAcentral